Long non-coding RNA from Lolium perenne, 850 nucleotides. RefSeq lists it as uncharacterized. Lineage: Eukaryota; Viridiplantae; Streptophyta; Magnoliopsida; Poales; Poaceae. The record is from RefSeq and is a predicted model, not a curated record.
CGGACGAAUCCUCCACGCCGGCCGCCGCUCACGGCUCGUCCGCCUCCUCCACGUCGCCGGCCGCCACCAGCCGGCCUCCUCGACGUCGCUGCCCGCUCCCUAACCUGCUGAAAGAAGAGCAAGAUGGAAUCAGAAAGUAAGAAUCAACCCAAAGCAAAUUGGGAUGCAAUUGCCACCCAAGCAUUUUGCGAGAUUUGUGCUCAAGAGAAGCAAGAUGGUAACAUACCAACAACAUUUUUGAGCAACACGGGUUACAAAAACCUAGAGAUGAAGUUUUUCCAAAAAAAAACUAGAAGAGCUUACACUAGAAAACAAUUCAAAAACCAAUGGGAUGCGAUGAAAUCUUUGUACUUGGCAUGGAAGUACUAUAGAACUCACGCAACCGGACUUGGUUGGGACCCCGAGAAGAUGACAUUUACAGCUGAUGAUGCAUGGUGGAAGGAGAUAAUAGCGGCCAACAAGUUGUGUGCUAGUUUUCGUGAAGGACCUCCACCACAUUUGAAAGAACUAGAGAUUAUGUUUUCUAAAGCUCAUGUUGAUGGCAUGACUUCUUUCAUGCCCGGGGCUGCCACCAAUGUGAAUGAGGUGGUAUAUGAGGAGGAUGAAGAACUUUAAAAUCGAGUCUUCUUCAACACUAUGAAGACAAAUGAAGGAAAAAAAAUGUGGUUAACGAGGAUGUACCAAGAUAGGAAGAAGAAUUAGCUCACCUAUGUUCCUAUCAUGUAUCUUGCAAUUUCAAAUUGUUAGUUUCCAUUUGCAUUGAACAAGUAUUGUCGGUUGUAAUAUCUAAACCCGGAUGUAUGCACUCAUUUGGACGUCUUGUUUGGAUAUUUGCUGCUGUAUGUUGCUG